RNAcentral lists this ribosomal RNA (473 nucleotides) under uncultured bacterium. Its description in RNAcentral is "bacterial SSU rRNA". It matches the Rfam family "Bacterial small subunit ribosomal RNA", at positions 29 to 518 of the family's 1533-position model. The record is from RNAcentral.
ACGAACGCUGGCGGCGUGCCUAACACAUGCAAGUCGAGCGAUGAAGUUCUUCGGAACGGAUUAGCGGCGGACGGGUGAGUAACACGUGGGUAACCUGCCUUGUAGAGGGGGAUAGCCUUCCGAAAGGAAGAUUAAUACCGCAUAACAUCUUUUUUAUCGCAUGGUAGAAAGAUCAAAGGAGCAAUCCGCUACAAGAUGGACCCGCGGCGCAUUAGCUAGUUGGUGAGGUAACGGCUCACCAAGGCGACGAUGCGUAGCCGACCUGAGAGGGUGAUCGGCCACAUUGGAACUGAGACACGGUCCAGACUCCUACGGGAGGCAGCAGUGGGGAAUAUUGCGCAAUUGGGGGGAAACCCUGACGCAGCAACGCCGCGUGAAUGAAGAAGGCCUUAGGGUUGUAAAGUUCUGUUUACGGGGACGAUAAUGACGGUACCCGUGGAGGAAGCCACGGCUAACUACGUGCCAGCCGCCGC